Molecule: ribosomal RNA, 492 nt
Filed under: uncultured bacterium
Lineage: Bacteria
Description: partial 16S ribosomal RNA
Rfam family: Bacterial small subunit ribosomal RNA
Source: RNAcentral
AGUGAACGCUGGCGGUAGGCCUAACACAUGCAAGUCGAGCGGCAGCACAGUAAGAGCUUGCUCUUACGGGUGGCGAGUGGCGGACGGGUGAGGAAUACAUCGGAAUCUACUUUUUCGUGGGGGAUAACGUAGGGAAACUUACGCUAAUACCGCAUACGACCUACGGGUGAAAGCAGGGGAUCUUCGGACCUUGCGCGAUUGAAUGAGCCGAUGUCGGAUUAGCUAGUUGGCGGGGUAAAGGCCCACCAAGGCGACGAUCCGUAGCUGGUCUGAGAGGAUGACCAGCCACACUGGAACUGAGACACGGUCCAGACGCCUACGGGAGGCAGCAGUGGGGAAUAUUGGACAAUGGGCGCAAGCCUGAUCCAGCCAUACCGCGUGGGUGAAGAAGGCCUUCGGGUUGUAAAGCCCUUUUGUUGGGAAAGAAAAGCAGCAGGUUAAUACCCCGCGGUUCUGACGGUACCCAAAGAAUAAGCACCGGCUAACUUCGUG